This 468-nucleotide ribosomal RNA is filed under the name uncultured bacterium. Its description in RNAcentral is "partial 16S ribosomal RNA". It matches the Rfam family "Bacterial small subunit ribosomal RNA", at positions 28 to 507 of the family's 1533-position model. The record is from RNAcentral.
GACGAACGCUGGCGGCGUGCUUAACACAUGCAAGUCGAACGGAAAGGCCCUGCUUUUGUUGUUUUCUCGUGUGUCGCACGGGUGAGUAACACGUGAGUAACCUCCCCUUUACUUUGGGAUAACUUCAUUAAACUGGGUCUCAUACCGGAUAUGAGCUCCUGCUGCAUGUUUGGUUUUGUAAAGUUUCGGCGGUUGGGGAUGGACUCGCGGCUUAGCAUCUUGUUGGUGGGGUUGUGGCUUACCAAGGCUUUGACGGGUAGCCGGACUGGGAGGGUGACCGGCCACAGAGGGACUGAGGAGGGAGCAAGAGGCAUACGGGGGGAAGGGGGGGAAAACAUUGCGAAAUGGGCGGAAGCAUGAUGGAGGGACGUCGGGUGGGGGAUGACGGCCGUAAGGUUGUAAACCGCUUUAGCCUGGGACGAAGAGUGAGUGACGGUAAUGGGUAAAGAAGCAACGGCUAACUACGUG